RNAcentral lists this long non-coding RNA (289 nucleotides) under Elaeis guineensis (African oil palm). RNAcentral's name for it is "long non-coding RNA (EGUI_LNC065235)". Lineage: Eukaryota; Viridiplantae; Streptophyta; Magnoliopsida; Arecales; Arecaceae. The record is from RNAcentral.
GUAUUGAGCUUCAGGUUUGAUCUCAUCAAAUCCGAUUCAGAUUCAAUCAUUGGUGUCGGUUCUUCUACCUAUCAAACUUUAUCAAGCUAGAUUUUAGAGGCACUUAUUCCUUCAUUAAGAAAUUCUUUUUCUAAAAAGUAUACCUUACUACUGACAAAUAUCUUUUAUUCAGCAGGCAGGUAAAAGUAAAAUCUUCUUGUUUCUUUGGGGUACCCUAUGAAAUUGCACUUAUUGGACCGAGGACCGAGCUUGUCAGUUUGUAAUCAUUUAACAUAAGCCGGACACCCCC